GAUAAGAACGCAGCGAAAUGCGAUAAGUAAUGUGAAUUGCAGAAUUCAGUGAAUCAUCGAAUCUUUGAACGCACCUUGCGCUCCUUGGUAUUCCGAGGAGCAUGCCUGUUUGAGUGUCAUUAAUAUAUCAACCUUCUCUUUUUUGAGUUGUUUGGAUGUGGGGGUUUGCUGGCCUCUUAAAUGAUUCAGCUCCCCUGAAAUGCAUUAGCAGAACAACCUGUUCAUUAGCGUGAUAAUUAUCUAUGCUAUUGAAUGUGAGGGCAGUUCAGCUUUCUAACCGUCCUUGGACAAUUCAUCAUUAAUGUGACCUCAAAUCAGGUAGGACUACCCGCUGAACUUAAGCAUAUCAAUAAGCGGAGGA
Molecule: unclassified non-coding RNA, 361 nt
Filed under: soil metagenome
Description: partial contains 5.8S ribosomal RNA, internal transcribed spacer 2, and large subunit ribosomal RNA
Rfam family: 5.8S ribosomal RNA (bases 4-119)
Source: RNAcentral